Molecule: ribosomal RNA, 229 nt
Filed under: Penicillium alfredii
Lineage: Eukaryota; Fungi; Ascomycota; Eurotiomycetes; Eurotiales; Aspergillaceae
Description: partial 28S ribosomal RNA
Rfam family: Eukaryotic large subunit ribosomal RNA
Source: RNAcentral
GGUUGACCUCGGAUCAGGUAGGGAUACCCGCUGAACUUAAGCAUAUCAAUAAGCGGAGGAAAAGAAACCAACAGGGAUUGCCCUAGUAACGGCGAGUGAAGCGGCAAGAGCUCAAAUUUGAAAGCUGGCUCCUUCGGGGCCCGCAUUGUAAUUUGCAGAGGAUGCUUCGGGAGUGGCCCCCGUCUAAGUGCCCUGGAACGGGCCGUCAUAGAGGGUGAGAAUCCCGUCU